AUCCUACGGGAGGCAGCAGUGAGGAAUAUUGGUCAAUGGACGAGAGUCUGAACCAGCCAAGUAGCGUGAAGGAUGACUGCCCUAUGGGUUGUAAACCUCUUUUGUCAGGGAGCAACGCCGGCUACGUGUAGCCGGACUGAGAGUACCUGAAGAAAAAGCAUCGGCUAACUCCGUGCCAGCAGCCGCGGUAAUACGGAGGAUCCGAGCGUUAUCCGGAUUUAUUGGGUUUAAAGGGAGCGUAGGUGGAUUGUUAAGUCAGUUGUGAAAGUUUGCGGCUCAACCGUAAAAUUGCAGUUGAAACUGGC
This 305-nucleotide ribosomal RNA is filed under the name uncultured bacterium. RNAcentral describes it as "bacterial SSU rRNA". It matches the Rfam family "Bacterial small subunit ribosomal RNA", at positions 335 to 637 of the family's 1533-position model. The record is from RNAcentral.